CCUACGGGUGGCAGCAGUGGGGAAUAUUGGACAAUGGGCGAAAGCCUGAUCCAGCCAUGCCGCGUGUGUGAAGAAGGCCUUCGGGUUGUAAAGCACUUUCAGUGGGGAAGAAAGCCUUGGGGCUAAUACCCUCGAGGAAGGACAUCACCCACAGAAGAAGCACCGGCUAACUCCGUGCCAGCAGCCGCGGUAAUACGGAGGGUGCGAGCGUUAAUCGGAAUUACUGGGCGUAAAGCGCGCGUAGGCGGUCUGAUAAGCCGGUUGUGAAAGCCCCGGGCUCAACCUGGGAACGGCAUCCGGAACUAUCAGGCUAGAGUGCAGGAGAGGAAGGUAGAAUUCCCGGUGUAGCGGUGAAAUGCGUAGAGAUCGGGAGGAAUACCAGUGGCGAAGGCGGCCUUCUGGACUGACACUGACGCUGAGGUGCGAAAGCGUGGGUAGCAAACAGGAUUAGAUACCCUAGUAGUC
This 465-nucleotide ribosomal RNA is filed under the name Vreelandella stevensii. RNAcentral describes it as "partial 16S ribosomal RNA". It matches the Rfam family "Bacterial small subunit ribosomal RNA", at positions 338 to 795 of the family's 1533-position model. The record is from RNAcentral. Lineage: Bacteria; Pseudomonadati; Pseudomonadota; Gammaproteobacteria; Oceanospirillales; Halomonadaceae.